Molecule: ribosomal RNA, 616 nt
Filed under: Quadriacanthus levequei
Lineage: Eukaryota; Metazoa; Platyhelminthes; Monogenea; Dactylogyridea; Ancylodiscoididae
Description: partial large subunit ribosomal RNA
Rfam family: Eukaryotic large subunit ribosomal RNA
Source: RNAcentral
UAGCCCAGCACCGAAGCCUAUUGCACUUGUGGACAGGGCAAUGUGGUGUUCAGGCAUGAACCUGGGGACGCUCGUCUGUUCGAAGUCCAACUCCGAUUAUGGCUUGGAUUUGUCCCAUAGAGGGUGAAAGGCCCGUUCGAACAGACAUACUCCCUCAUGUUUGUGCUUUCGAGUCGGAUUGCUUGAGAAUGCAGUCCAAAGCGGGUGGUAAACUCCAUCCAAGGCUAAAUACUGGCACGAGUCCGAUAGUAGACAAGUACCGUGAGGGAAAGUUGAAAAGUACUCUGAAGAGAGAGUAAAUAGUACGUGAAACCGAUUGUAUGGAAGCUGGUGGAGUCAAGCUUCUUGCCUUGGUGAUUGCCGAGGAGAAUGUUGUUCAUAGAGUAUGGAGGGUUCCGCUUGGAAAUAGCAGGUUGGUUCUCAAGCGUUCCGGGUAGUGUGUUGUGUCUCUCUAUCCUCAGGUCUCUUCGUUAUUUCUGGCUAACAUCACAAUCAAUGCACCUGUGGUGUCUCAUCGUCUAACUACGUUAUAGGGACCCUUGGUUUCCUGAACGUGGGAUGGCAGGUGGUAGCCGUCACUUGUAUGCGUUGCUACUUGCUGACCAUGACAAGUUGG